This 1013-nucleotide ribosomal RNA is filed under the name human gut metagenome. RNAcentral's name for it is "bacterial SSU rRNA". It matches the Rfam family "Bacterial small subunit ribosomal RNA", at positions 44 to 1054 of the family's 1533-position model. The record is from RNAcentral.
AGGCUUAACACAUGCAAGUCGAGGGGCAGCGGGGAGUAGCAAUACUUCGCCGGCGACCGGCGCACGGGUGAGUAACACGUGUGCAACCAACCCCGUACCGGGAGAUAACCCGCGGAAAGUCGGACUAACAUCCCAUAAGACUCUAGAGCCGCAUGGCUCUGGAUUUAAAAUUCCGGUGGUACGGGACGGGCACGCGCGACAUUAGGUAGUUGGCGGGGUAACGGCCCACCAAGCCGACGAUGUCUAGGGGUUCUGAGAGGAAGGUCCCCCACACUGGAACUGAGACACGGUCCAGACUCCUACGGGAGGCAGCAGUGAGGAAUAUUGGUCAAUGGGCGCGAGCCUGAACCAGCCAAGUCGCGUGAGGGAAGAAUGGUCCAUGGCCUGUAAACCUCUUUUGUCAAGGAAGAAUAAAUUGCACGUGUGCGAUCUUGCCAGUACUUGACGAAUAAGCAUCGGCUAACUCCGUGCCAGCAGCCGCGGUAAUACGGGGGAUGCGAGCGUUAUCCGGAUUUAUUGGGUUUAAAGGGCGCGUAGGCGGGACGCCAAGUCAGCGGUAAAAGACUGCAGCUAAACUGUAGCACUGCCGUUGAAACUGGCGCCCUCGAGACGAGACGAGGGAGGCGGAACAAGUGAAGUAGCGGUGAAAUGCUUAGAUAUCACUUGGAACCCCGAUAGCGAAGGCAGCUUCCCAGGCUCGAUCUGACGCUGAUGCGCGAGAGCGUGGGUAGCGAACAGGAUUAGAUACCCUGGUAGUCCACGCCGUAAACGAUGCUCACUGGAUCUUGGCGAUACACCGCCAGGGUUCAAGCGAAAGUAUUAAGUGAGCCACCUGGGGAGUACGUCGGCAACGAUGAAACUCAAAGGAAUUGACGGGGGCCCGCACAAGCGGAGGAACAUGUGGUUUAAUUCGAUGAUACGCGAGGAACCUUACCCGGGUUUAAAUGUAUUUUGCAUGAGGUGGAAACACUUCUUCCCUUCGGGGCUAGAUACAAGGUGCUGCAUGGUUGUCG